Long non-coding RNA from Dreissena polymorpha, 402 nucleotides. RefSeq lists it as uncharacterized. Lineage: Eukaryota; Metazoa; Mollusca; Bivalvia; Myida; Dreissenidae. The record is from RefSeq and is a predicted model, not a curated record. The transcript has 2 exons.
UUCCCAUUGUUUAUAUUUAUUAAAAUAGGUAGGGGGAGUAACUGGUAUAAUAAUUUCGCAUUUAUUUUAAAUUUCAAGUCAAAAAUUUUAAUAGUAUAAACAUUGAUUAAUACUCUGAAAUUGAGGACAUUUGUCUCAAGAUAUUGCUUUGUAAUUUUAUCUGCAGGUCAAACUGAAAAGUGGCCGAUUUUUUAGGUACAUUUAACCUACGAAAAUGGAUAGUUUACAUGUCAUCAUUUUCUGUUCAUUAAGUAACAUUCACCGAUCUAAUUCUAUUUAAAUUUUCAUGCUAGGUGAGUUUUGAACCCAGGAUUAUAUAUGUGAAGUUUAGUUUCAACCAGUUGCCUAACACUAAAGAUUUUUCUUAAAUAGUCCCAAAAGUGGCCGGAAUUACGUACAUGA